ACUCUGCGACCCCUGGGGGUUCUCUGGGCCAGAAUCCUGGAGUGGGCAGCCGUUCCCUUCUCCAGGAAGGAACACAGGAAAUGAGCAAAAAUCGUCAAUACAGUCAGAGAUGGAUGGGGGCAGGUAAAAGCAAACCGUUCUUAGCUGCUUAGAGAUAGAGGCCAGGGCUCACUUAAGAGAGAAAACAGACUUUUGUUUAAGAGAAAGCAGAAGGGGAAAGACUGCUGGUGCUGCUGGCAGGGCCCUGGCCCUCUUUCCAGCCAGAGACAGGGACGAGAACCCCAACAGGAGAAUGGACGAAUAAAUAAAUGGAGAAGGAGAAAAGACUGAAGGGAAAGAGCCGACUCAAGGGCAUCGAGGGGAGAACAAAGCCUGAUUCAGCCUGUUCUUUUCCCAGGAAAUCCAGGUGGGCGAAAACCACACCAGGCCGCAGUGGUCCCGCUGCUGGGCCCCCACACCCGCAAUUCUACAGCGUCAGCACCGAGGCCUCAGCAGCCAGCAGCCAGAAGUUUCCUCUCCUGCUGCUGGCUCCACCCCCAGGGACAGCCCCGCUGCUCCAGGCUGCCCAGGGCAGGCCUGGCCCUGAGCCCAUGACCAGAGCAGCACCCUCCUCCAAGCACAGGUGAGGCCUCACCAUGGCGACGCCCUCCUCCAAGGAGAGACACGGACACACAGAUCCAACGUCUUCCGAUCUCUGUUGGGUCUGGGGGCGACGCAUUUCCCCCCAGACCUCCUGGCCACCUGGAGGACGACCGGAGUCUCAGUGUGGGCGUCCCUGGACUUGCGAAGGGUGCUUCCAGCCACACCCCGCCUCCCGCCCUGUGACCGGGCUCCCUGCAGCCCCGCUGCCCUUGGCCCUCAGCCCUGGUGAAGGAAAGAACCCGAGCUCAGCCUACCAGCAGCGGGCCCCCCGAGUGGCCCAUUCCCACGUGAUCACACUGUCCAAGCUUUGCGUAAAAUUCCCGCUUAGGAGUGAAGGACUUUGGGAAUCUCUGGUCUCACAUGAAUACACUGAAAUCCCGCAUGUCUCCAGGCGCACGAAGGCCACACACGGGGUCAGGGAGAGCUGGUUCUUUCGGGCUGACACACACACAAGGGUCAGUCUCACAGCCUGGCUCUGA
This 1121-nucleotide long non-coding RNA is filed under the name Capra hircus (goat). RNAcentral's name for it is "lncRNA (ENSCHIG00010007254.1)". The record is from RNAcentral. Lineage: Eukaryota; Metazoa; Chordata; Mammalia; Artiodactyla; Bovidae.